This 452-nucleotide ribosomal RNA is filed under the name uncultured bacterium. RNAcentral describes it as "bacterial SSU rRNA". It matches the Rfam family "Bacterial small subunit ribosomal RNA", at positions 355 to 825 of the family's 1533-position model. The record is from RNAcentral.
UCGAGAAUCUUCCGCAAUGGACGAAAGUCUGACGGAGCGACGCCGCGUGAUGGAUGAAGUCCCUCUGGGACGUAAACAUCUUUUAUGAGGGAGAAAGUUUAUUGAUAGUACCUCACGAAUAAGGGGUUGCUAAACUCGUGCCAGCAGCAGCGGUAAUACGAGUGCCCCGAGCGUUAUCCGGAAUCAUUGGGCGUAAAGGGUGUGUAGGUGGCAUUGUUAGUCACACGUUAAACCCUGGGGCUUAACCCCAGAUCUGCGUGUGAUACGGCAAAGCUAGAGGAUGGCAGGGAUGUAUGGAACUCAUGGAGUAGGGGUGAAAUCCGUUGAUAUCAUGGGGAACACCGAAAGCGAAGGCAGUACAUUGGGCCACUCCUGACACUGAAACACGAAAGCGUGGGUAGCGAAUGGGAUUAGAUACCCAAGUAGUCCCUGAGCGGGCUGGCAAGGCGCAU